UGCUUACAAAGAGGAAAUUACAUCAUCCUUGAAUUCUUCCAUAUUGUCAGAAAAUACGAUGACUCCAGGCAAGCCUUUACGAAGAAAUGUCAAAACUCUGAAUCUUAGCAGCCAAGGUGGUAUCUCCUCAGUAUUGUCCUCAGCCACUGAGGAUACAGUUUGAGAUUACGGGAAAUGAUGAGACGUUCGUUGAGAGCAGCUGGUUUGGGUAGACAUGAAGCUGGAGCUUCAUCCAGUGACCACCAGGAUCCAGUUUCACCCCCCAUAGCUCCCCCUAGUUGGGUUCCUGACCCUCCUGCGAUGGAUCCUGAUGGUGACAUUGAUUUUAUCCUGGCCCCCGCUGUGGGAUCUCUUACCACAGCAGCAACCGGUACUGGUCAAGGACCAAGCACCUCCACUAUUCCAGGUAAGAAUCUGUACUCUUUGUCUGCCUAGUCAUCUGGAAGAAAAAAGGACACACU
RNAcentral lists this long non-coding RNA (461 nucleotides) under Pan troglodytes (chimpanzee). Its description in RNAcentral is "long non-coding RNA NONPTRT017170". The record is from RNAcentral. Lineage: Eukaryota; Metazoa; Chordata; Mammalia; Primates; Hominidae.